This 1105-nucleotide small RNA is filed under the name Pongo abelii (Sumatran orangutan). Its description in RNAcentral is "transcribed unitary pseudogene". Lineage: Eukaryota; Metazoa; Chordata; Mammalia; Primates; Hominidae. The record is from RNAcentral.
AUGAAUGUCAAAGGAAAAGUAAUUCUGUCAAUGCUGGUUGUCUCAACUGUGAUCGUUGUGUUUUGGGAAUAUAUCACCCAGAAGCCUCUUUCUUGUGGAUAUAUCACUCAAACCCAGAAGUUGAUGACAGCAGUGCUCAGAAGGGCUGGUGGUUUCUGAGCUGGUUUAACAAUGAUCCACAAUUAUCAACAAAGGGAAGAAGACAUAGACAAAGAAAAAGGAAGAGAGGAGACCAAAGAAAGGAAAAUGACACAACAGAGCUUCGGCUAUGGGACUGGUUUAAUCCAAACCCAAAGGUUGUGACAGUGACCAGAUGGAAGGCGCCGGUUGUGUGGGAAGGCACUUUCAACAAAGCCAUCCUAGGAAAUUAUUAUGCCAAACAGAAAAUUACCGUGGGGUUGAUGGUUUUUGCUAUUGGAAUAAUGGGCAUUACUUGGAGGAGUUCAUAACAUCUGCUAAUAGGUACUUCAUGGUCGGCCACAAAGUCAUAUUUUACAUCAUGGUGGAUGAUGUCUCCAAGGUGCCGUUUAUAGAGCUGGGUCCUCUGCAUUCCUUCAAAGUGUUUGAGGUCAAGCCAGAGAAGAGGUGGCAAGACAUCAGCAUGAUGCGUAUGAAAAUCACUGGGGAGCACAUCUUGGCCCACAUCCAACACGAGGUCGACUUCCUCUUCUGCAUGGAUGUGGACCAGGUCUUCCAAGACCAUUUUGGGGUGGAGACCCUAGGCCAGUCGGUGGCUCAGCUACAGGCCUGGCGGUACAAGGCAGAUCCCGAUGACUUUACCUAGGAGAGGCGGGAAGAGUCAGCAGCAUAUAUUCCAUUUGGCCAGGGGAUUUUUAUUACCAUGCAGCCAUUUUUGGAGGAACACCCAUUCAGGUUCUCAACAUCACCCGGGAGUGCUUUAACGGAAUCCUCCUGGACAAGAAAAAUGACGUAGAAGCCGAGUGGCAUGAUGAAAGCCACCUAAACAAGUAUUUCCUUCUCAACAAACCCUCUAAAAUCUUAUCCCUAAAAUACUGCUGGGAUUAUCAUAUAGGCCUGCCUUCAGAUAUUAAAACUGUCAAGCGAUCACGGCAGACAAAAGAGUAUAAUUUGGUUAGAAAUAACG